RNAcentral lists this ribosomal RNA (497 nucleotides) under uncultured Anaerococcus sp. RNAcentral describes it as "bacterial SSU rRNA". It matches the Rfam family "Bacterial small subunit ribosomal RNA", at positions 8 to 507 of the family's 1533-position model. Lineage: Bacteria; Bacillati; Bacillota; Tissierellia; Tissierellales; Peptoniphilaceae. The record is from RNAcentral.
AGAGUUUGAUCCUGGCUCAGGAUUAACGCUGGCGGCGUGCAUAACACAUGCAAGUCGAACGAUGAAGAUAUUUAGAUUCCUUCGGGAUGAAAAAUAUUGGAUUAGUGGCGGACGGGUGAGUAACGCGUGAGUAACCUGCCUUACACAAGGGGAUAGCCGUUGGAAACGACGAAUAAUACCCUAUGACAUAAACUCUUCGCAUGAAGAGCUUAUCAAAGAUUUAUCGGUGUAAGAUGGACUCGCGUCUGAUUAGCUAGUUGGUGAGGUAACGGCCCACCAAGGCAACGAUCAGUAGCCGGCUUGAGAGAGUGUACGGCCACAUUGGGACUGAGACACGGCCCAGACUCCUACGGGAGGCAGCAGUGGGGAAUUUUGCACAAUGGGGGAAACCCUGAUGCAGCGACGCCGCGUGAUUUAGAAGGCCUUCGGGUUGUAAAAAUCUUUUGUAUGGGAAGAAAAUGACAGUACCAUACGAAUAAGGACCGGCUAAUUACGUG